CCUACGGGUGGCAGCAGUGAGGAAUAUUGGUCAAUGGCCGAGAGGCUGAACCAGCCAAGUCGCGUGAGGGAAGACGGCCCUACGGGUUGUAAACCUCUUUUGUCGGGGAGCAAAGCGAGUCACGUGUGACUCAUUGAGAGUACCCGAAGAAAAAGCAUCGGCUAACUCCGUGCCAGCAGCCGCGGUAAUACGGAGGAUGCGCGCGUUAUCCGGAUUUAUUGGGUUUAAAGGGUGCGAAGGCGGAGGUGCAAGUCAGCGGUAAAAUUGCGGGGCUCAACCCCGUACUGCCGUUGACACUGGAUGCCUUGAGUGCGCGAGAGGUAUGCGGAAUUCGUGGUGUAGCGGUGAAAUGCAUAGAUAUCACGCAGAACUCCGAUUGCGAAGGCAGCAUACCGGCGCGCAACUGACGCUGAUGCACGAAAGCGUGGGUAUCGAACAGGAUUAGAUACCCUUGUAGUC
RNAcentral lists this ribosomal RNA (459 nucleotides) under uncultured bacterium. RNAcentral's name for it is "partial 16S ribosomal RNA". It matches the Rfam family "Bacterial small subunit ribosomal RNA", at positions 338 to 795 of the family's 1533-position model. The record is from RNAcentral.